This 423-nucleotide ribosomal RNA is filed under the name uncultured bacterium. RNAcentral describes it as "bacterial SSU rRNA". It matches the Rfam family "Bacterial small subunit ribosomal RNA", at positions 358 to 774 of the family's 1533-position model. The record is from RNAcentral.
AGAAUUUUUCUCAAUGGGGGAAACCCUGAAGGAGCGACGCCGCGUGGGGGAUGAAGGGCUUCGGCUCGUAAACCCCUGUCAAGUGUGAGCACAUGUUAGUGUUUAAGAGAUGCUGACAUGAUAGUAGCAAAAGAGGAAGGGACGGCUAACUCUGUGCCAGCAGCCGCGGUAAUACAGAGGUCCCAAGCGUUGUUCGGAAUCACUGGGCGUAAAGGGUGCGUAGGCGGUAUGGUAAGACUCAUGUGAAAUCUCUGUGCUCAACGCAGAGGCUGCAUGAGAGACUGCUGUGCUGGAGGAUUGGAAGGGAGACUGGAAUUCUUGGAGUAGCAGUGAAAUGCGUAGAUAUCAAGAGGAACACCAGUGGCGAAGGCGAGUCUCUGGACAAAACCUGACGCUGAGGCACGAAAGCCAGGGGAUCAAACG